GUUGUAGUCUGGAGAAGUGCUUUCCGUGCCGGACCGUGUAUAAGUCUCUUGGAAUAGAGCGUCAUAGAGGGUGAGAAUCCCGUCUUUGACACGGACUACCGGUGCUUUGUGAUGCGCUCUCAAAGAGUCGAGUUGUUUGGGAAUGCAGCUCAAAAUGGGKGGUAAAUUCCAUCUAAAGCUAAAUAUUGGCGAGAGACCGAUAGCGAACAAGUACCGUGAGGGAAAGAUGAAAAGCACUUUGGAAAGAGAGUUAAACAGUACGUGAAAUUGCUGAAAGGGAAACGCUUGAAGUCAGUCGCGUUGUGCAGAACUCAACCUAGCUUUUGCUUGGUGCACUUUCUGUAUGACGGGCCAGCAUCGAUUUUGACUGUCGGAAAAGGGUUGAAGGAAUGUGGCACCUCCGGGUGUGUUAUAGCCUUUGGUCGCAUACGGCAGUUGGGAUCGAGGAACGCAGCGUGCCGCAAGGUGGGGCUUCGGCCUACAUUCACGCUUAGGAUGCUGGCAUAAUGGCUUUAAACGACCCGUCUUGAAACACGGACCAAGGAGUCUAACAUGCCUGCGAGUGUUUGGGUGGAAAACCCGAGCGCGUAAUGAAAGUGAAAGUUGAGACCUCUGUCGUGGAGGGCAUCGACGCCCGGACCUGAAGUUUUCUGACGGAUCCGCGGUAGAGCAUGUAUGUUGGGACCCGAAAGAUGGUGAACUAUGCCUGAAUAGGGUGAAGCCAGAGGAAACUCUGGUG
RNAcentral lists this ribosomal RNA (739 nucleotides) under Polyporus grammocephalus. Its description in RNAcentral is "eukaryotic LSU rRNA". It matches the Rfam family "Eukaryotic large subunit ribosomal RNA", at positions 142 to 869 of the family's 3401-position model. Lineage: Eukaryota; Fungi; Basidiomycota; Agaricomycetes; Polyporales; Polyporaceae. The record is from RNAcentral.